GACUUUAAUUAACAACAUUCUAUUAUAUCUUUGAAAGUUGCUAAGGGAGUAGAUCUUAAAUGUUCUCACUAUACAUGCAAAAACGAUAAUUAUGAAAAAUGCAGAUGAAGGUUAUGCAUAGCACAGUUCACUAUAGCUCCUUAUAGCUAAGAAACCCUGGUGGAGGGGAAUGGAAGUACCCAGAUGAAAUUUUAUAGGAAAAAUAAUGUACCCAGUGAGUUACGUGGGAGAACCAGAUGAGACAAAUCAUUCCAAGUAACUUUGGUAUCUCCAUGGAGCUCACAUGUGAGGAUGCUAUGAUUCAGGAGGACAUGUACAAAAUAAGAACAGUAGCAGCAAUGGUCAGUAAUUUAUCACUCCUCAAGCAAAUGCUGCCGAAUGCCUGCUGUGUGCUAAGGGAUGAGCUACAUAGGCUUUCCUGGAGAUACAAAGAUAAUUAGAAGUGGUCAUUUCUAUUAAAAAGAUAAACUAUUUAGAAGAAAAAGCUCGCUCUGGAAAAAAAAAACGCACAAAGUUGAAAAUAAAGAGGAGAAGAUGCUUAAUCCUCAGUGGUAUUUCAGUGGCAUGGAGCACCCUGACUCUUAUGAUGGGAACAUUCUUAUUUCAAUCACUCAGAAAGAUGCCUUUGGCAAGAGAAUCACAGCUGACAGCAAAUUAAUGACUAUGAUGCUGUGAUUAGUUGAGAUUACAGGCUACAGAGGACCUGUCUGAGCAUUUACCACUGUCAUCAUACUGAUGCUGGCAUCUAUUUGGGAUUUAUAUUGUUCAAAAAGGAGGAUGUGGUUCAGUUAUAGUAAGUCUUAUAGAAAGGAGAAGACAAAACUUAAUGGAUAUUUUAGUACAUACCAGUCCUUGAAUGGAUUUAUAAAAUAAAACUUCUCAAUCAACUUAAUGAAGAAGGGAUAAAAAAUUAGCAGAACAACAACACCCAAACCAUCUACUCAGAUACUAAGUAGCACUGCACAUCCUUCCAAAUUCUAGCCAAAAAGAAAUAAUGAUUUCUGUAAUCCCCAGCAAUGACUUUUGCAGGGGGAAGAUUUCAAAUAAACGUCUAUUUGCUUUAGGUAAGCUUCACUGAAUCGGCCUUAUUUGAUUUCAGAUCCUCCUAAGGGAAGAGAUUUCAGGAUUUCCUGGUUGUAAAAUGGAAAAGAACAUUUUGCUGAACUUGUAUGACAUCAUCUAAAGCAUUAAAAGGGCAGAUAAUCAUGGGUUCUCUACCUGUUUACCAAAGCUUCUUUACCUCUUCAAUCUACUUUAUUUCCAAAUGUCAGACUGGUU
Molecule: long non-coding RNA, 1278 nt
Organism: Canis lupus familiaris (dog)
Lineage: Eukaryota; Metazoa; Chordata; Mammalia; Carnivora; Canidae
Exons: 7
Source: RefSeq, a predicted model, not a curated record